This 453-nucleotide ribosomal RNA is filed under the name uncultured bacterium. RNAcentral describes it as "bacterial SSU rRNA". It matches the Rfam family "Bacterial small subunit ribosomal RNA", at positions 10 to 507 of the family's 1533-position model. The record is from RNAcentral.
AGUUUGACUCCUGGCUACAGAACGAACGCUGGCGGCAUGCCUAACACAUGCAAGUCGAACGAGACCUUCGGGUCUAGUGGCGCACGGGUGCGUAACGCGUGGGAACCUGCCUUUAGGUUCGGAAUAACAGUGAGAAAUUACUGCUAAUACCGGAUGAUGUCUUCGGACCAAAGAUUUAUCGCCCAAGGAUGAGCCCGCGUAGGAUUAGGUAGUUGGUGGGGUAAAGGCCUACCAAGGCGACGAUCCAUAGCUGGUCUGAGAGGAUGAUCAGCCACACUGGGACUGAGACACGGCCCAGACUCCUACGGGAGGCAGCAGUGGGGAAUAUUGGACAAUGGGCGAAAGCCUGAUCCAGCAAUGCCGCGUGAGUGAUGAAGGCCUUAGGGUUGUAAAGCUCUUUUACCCGAGAUGAUAAUGACAGUAUCGGGAGAAUAAGCUCCGGCUAACUCCGUG